ACAUUUCAGUGAAGUCUAGCAGGUCAAGGUACAGGGCUCCAGGGGUAUAUAGCACAAAUUAACCAGAAGGCGUUUCGUCACAGCCCCUACCUUCUGCUCUGGUAGGUGGUCAGUUCUUCUUGAAGGAUAGAUGCCCUCUUUUGCAGAAAGUUGACCUAGAAAGACAUCUUAUAUGAGAGAAGGGAAGUGCAGAUGUCAACACUACACACACACUAUGCUAGGAUUUUACUUAGACAAUCUCCUGGAUAACACUCGGAGGAAGUGAAUAUUAAGGAUGCAUUUUCCUGUAUCUGGUUACUUUCUGUCCCCACUGGAAAUCCACCCAAGGCUACAGAACCAACUAUAAGCUGUGUCCUAGCGGCCAUCUUGAUUGGCUGCCAUUCUGUCUCUGUGCCUGCCUCCCUCCUCGUGACCUUCCUACCAGUGCCACCUUCUGUCACCCUUUGGCCUGGGCCAUUUCUCACUUUGGAACAUCUACUAAAAGUCCCUUGGCCCCCCGCUGCUGCCUCACAAGUCAGCCCUCCCAUUGCUUCCCAACUGCUCACAUUGGCCCUGCUGAGUCCCAAGCCAGAGGCCUAUCCUCUGCACCUGAUGUUCUAGACUUUCUCACACUGCCUUGUGGUUAUGCUUCCAUGGCUGUUCCCAAACCCUGUGAUCUUUUCAGGAGAGGGACGACUGCCUAUCUCCAGUCCCCAGCUUCUUUUACAGGGCUGGGCAUGUAGCUGGUAUGCACUGGCUGUUUAAUGAGCGAAUGAGUGAGUGAAAAGAAAAUUACUGCUUUCUGGAAACCUCAAAUCCAUCCUGGGGAUUCCCUGAGGUUAGACAGAGUUUGGGAGUGGAAAAAGUCUGAGCUUUUUCUGGAGUUAGGCCAACUCCACUUCCAUCCCUGGCUUGGCCUCUAAGGCCCUAGGAAGGUUACUCAGCUCUUGCUGUGUCAUCUGUGAAGUGGGCUUCAGGACAGUUGCUUCCCAGGGUUAGGAGUGAUGAGCUGUGCCUCUCAGCAAAUGCCCAGUACAGGCUUCACAGUAGGUAUCACCGUGGAGUGCAGGGCUGGAGGACAGAAGCUAUUGCCCUGGCAUGAUUUCUUCAAUGAGGUCUUUAUAGUACAUGUGAUACUUUGCAGUAUAAAUGUCUAUGGGAUCAAUGACACCUAUAUAUCAGGCAUCAAUUCCAAACACCUUAUCCAACCACAUAAAAACAGUUUGGGGACAGCUUAACUAUGGCUCAAUGUAAUCAAGAGUCAGUGGCAUUUGAUCUGCUCAGAACUGUUUACUCUUGGUUCUUUGGUCUGAGUGGAAACCAUGGCAACGGCUGGUUUUGAGGCAUAGUUAUGCAAGAGUACAGCUGGAAGACCCAAAAGCGAGCUGGAAAGAGAAGAAGGCACAGCCUGCUCAGUGGUGUGUAUCACAGUGGUCCCUGGGUUUGCUCGCCUAGGAUGGCGACUGACCGGCUCCUCAUGUCAUCCGAGUGCUCACACGAGCCAUAGGACAAUUGAUAAUUUUGACAGAUGCAAGGAUCAUACUGCUUUAACUUCCUUCCCCCACCCUGCAUUGCAAUCGAUUGGAAUUCCAACAAUUUUCAAAAACACAGGCACCUGUGCUUUCAAACUAAAUCUGCUCACUCUAAGGCCUGCGACUCCUCCGUGCAGCUGCCAACUCUGAGGCCCUCAUGCAGCUGGCAGCACUCUCUCUCUCUGGGUCAACAUCCAGUUUCAGGAGGUUGAAGCAGCUUUUAUUACAGUGAAAUGAUAUGAACGAUAACAGAAGCUAUGCAGGUGGGUAUUGGAUUUCUCCCCUCCCCCACACCAACAGAAUAGAAUCUCCCUCCUCUGAGGGUGUCAGGCUCUCCCAGCUGACCCCAUGGGCACUCUCCAGUGAAGCCACAUUCAGUACUGCCCUUACACUGUGUUCUGCCCCAUCCUUUGUUUUCACAUGCAGAGGCAAGCAGCAGAGUCUAGGAACAGCCUCUGAAGGACUGGGGGAAAGGGCUUUUCACUGCAGCCAGCUCACUGAGGGAGCUAGAGAAGAAUCACCUCAAAUUUGCUUCAGGUAGCCAUGGCUGGCCAGAUACUUGCUAUGUAGACCAAUCUAGCCUUGAACUCACGGAGAUCCAGCUGCCCGUCUUCCUACUGCUGGGAUUCAAGGUGUGCCCCAUGGUGCUUGGCUCCAUACAGUUUUACAUAUUAUAAACACUCAAUGGAAUUUGAGUGAAUUAAAAAGAGCCCCUGGAAAAUGUAAAAUGACCUCACUUAAGAGCAAGACUUCCUAUCAGAAAAAUAUUAUUACUCUGCAUUUGGAAGUCCCAGUCCUGAAUCAAGAAAUCAUUAUAUCAAGCAGAAUCUUGUUGCUUUAAUAAAAAUCAUGAAAAACUUUA
Molecule: long non-coding RNA, 2373 nt
Organism: Rattus norvegicus (Norway rat)
Lineage: Eukaryota; Metazoa; Chordata; Mammalia; Rodentia; Muridae
Source: RefSeq, a predicted model, not a curated record